UACGUAGGGUGCGAGCGUUAAUCGGAAUUACUGGGCGUAAAGCGUGCGCAGGCGGUUUGUUAAGUCUGAUGUGAAAGCCCCGGGCUCAACCUGGGAAUGGCAUUGGAAACUGGCUGGCUAGAGUGUGGCAGAGGGGGGUGGAAUUCCGCGUGUAGCAGUGAAAUGCGUAGAGAUGCGGAGGAACGCCGAUGGCGAAGGCAGCCCCCUGGGCUAGCACUGACGCUCAGGCACGAAAGCGUGGGGAGCAAACAGG
Molecule: ribosomal RNA, 253 nt
Filed under: uncultured bacterium
Lineage: Bacteria
Description: partial 16S ribosomal RNA
Rfam family: Bacterial small subunit ribosomal RNA
Source: RNAcentral